AACGAACGCUGGCGGCAUGCCUAACACAUGCAAGUCGAACGAGACCUUCGGGUCUCUUGGCGCACGGGUGCGUAACGCGUGGGAACCUGCCCUUAGGUUCGGAAUAACUCCCCGAAAGGGGUGCUAAUACCGGAUAAUGUCUUCGGACCAAAGAUUUAUCGCCUUUGGAUGGGCCCGCGUUGGAUUAGCUAGUUGGUAGGGUAAAAGCCUACCAAGGCGACGAUCCAUAGCUGGUCUGAGAGGCUGAUCAGCCACACUGGGACUGAGACACGGCGCGGACUCUUGCGCGAGGGAGGAGUGGGGAAUAUAGGAAAAUGGGGGAAAGCAUGAUCCAGCAAUGCCGCGUGAGUGAUGAAGGCGUUAGGGUUGUAAAGCUCUUUUACCCGGGAUGACAAUGACAGUACCGGGAGAAUAAGCUCCGGCUAACUCCGUG
Molecule: ribosomal RNA, 433 nt
Filed under: uncultured bacterium
Lineage: Bacteria
Description: partial 16S ribosomal RNA
Rfam family: Bacterial small subunit ribosomal RNA
Source: RNAcentral